UACGAAGGGUGCAAGCGUUAAUCGGAAUCACUGGGCGUAAAGCGCGCGUAGGUGGUUCAGUAAGUUGGAAGUGAAAUCCCCGGGCUCAACCUGGGAACUGCUUUCAAAACUGCUGAGCUAGAGUACGGUAGAGGGUGGUGGAAUUUCCUGUGUAGCGGUGAAAUGCGUAGAUAUAGGAAGGAACACCAGUGGCGAAGGCGACCACCUGGACUGAUACUGACACUGAGGUGCGAAAGCGUGGGGAGCAAACAGG
This 253-nucleotide ribosomal RNA is filed under the name uncultured bacterium. Its description in RNAcentral is "partial 16S ribosomal RNA". It matches the Rfam family "Bacterial small subunit ribosomal RNA", at positions 524 to 776 of the family's 1533-position model. The record is from RNAcentral.